RNAcentral lists this long non-coding RNA (691 nucleotides) under Marmota monax (woodchuck). The record is from RNAcentral. Lineage: Eukaryota; Metazoa; Chordata; Mammalia; Rodentia; Sciuridae.
UGAGUCUGGAAUCUAUUCUAACUGCUCUUUGGAUAGUGCUUUAACUUACCUCUCCCUUAUUGGUUUUCUUCUAUGGCUUCCCUUCUCAGAAGUCCAAAGUAUUUUCUCAAGUUAUGGACUUAAUGUUUAUGUCCUCCCUCCCAACCCCCGCUGUUAACAUGUUGAAGCUCUGACUUCACCAUUACAGAGUACUUGGAGAUGGGGCAUUUGGGAGGUAACAGGAGUCAGGCCAUGAGGGCAGGGCCUUCUUGAUGGGUUUAGAGAAAGAGGAAAAAGAGAUUUCCUUUUCUCUAUCCCUCCAGUGUACAAACCAAGGAAAGGCCAUAUAAAGACAUGAGAAGGUGGCCUCUGCAAGCUAGGAAGAGCACCCUCACCAGAAAUGAAAUUGCCUAGUACCUUGAUCUUAGAUUUCACAGCCUCCAGAACUGUGAGAAAACAAGUUGUUCAAUCCACCUAGUCCUUGGUCCUUUGUUUUGGCAGCCUGAGCAGAUUUUCAUACCCAGAAAGCUCUGUAUCUGAUGUCUGCUGACCUCAUCUUCUUAUUCUUCUUUUGUUCACUGAAUUUGACACAUUGUCUUCAUUGGAUGCUUCAAACACUAAAGUAUGCUCAGGCUCUGAGGCCUUGGCACUUGGUGUAAGUGGGUGGGAUUUAUGGGGAAGGAGUUAUUUAUAAACCUCCCUCCCAACACAC